RNAcentral lists this long non-coding RNA (3307 nucleotides) under Sus scrofa (pig). RNAcentral's name for it is "lncRNA (ENSSSCG00050039501.1)". Lineage: Eukaryota; Metazoa; Chordata; Mammalia; Artiodactyla; Suidae. The record is from RNAcentral.
CCAAGCUUGUACAUUCAUCUUUGCAAGCCUAUCUGAUUAUAUCCUUUGGACAGAAUUUCUCAACCAAAGGACGGUAGACGUUUUGGUCUGGAUAAUUCUUUGCUGUGGGAUUCUGUGCUAUGUAUGGUAGGAUAUUUAGUGGCUUUCCUGGCCUCUGCUCACUAGUUGUCAGCAGCACGCUUGUCCCUGUGCCCCCCUCCCCCACGCCCAGGCAGGAUGACCAAAAACAUCUCUGGACGUUGCCAUGUGUCCCCUGGGGGCCAAAAUCACCCCAGUUGAGAAGCACUGACAUUAGGUAGAUUAUCAGAAUAGGAAAUGCUGGGUUGAAAGGCAUACAUAUUUAAAAUUUGUAUAGAUGGAUGAUAGAUAUUGAAAAUUUUAUAUCUAUUCCCACACUGUUUUCUAGAAGAAUGGUAUCAAUUCAUGUAUGUAUCAGGAGUAACGUGAUCCUCAUUAAAUGCCUACAAGAUAUUUAAGAAAGGAGUGCUGGGUAUUUGUUAAUUUAUUUGUUGGCAUGUUUAUGUGUAUGUGUGUGUGUAUUGGUGUUCUAAGGCCACACCGAAGGCAUAUGGAAGUUCCCAAGGUGUAGGGGCCUACACCACAGCCACAGCAACGUGGGGUUCAGCCACCUACACCACAGCUCACUGCAACACCAGAUCCUUAACCCAUUGAGUGAGGCCAGGGAUCGAACCUAGUUGGAUUUGCUACCACUGAGCCAUGACGGGAACUCCGAAUUUUUGUUUAAUCAUCUUUGUUUAGUUGCUUUCCUAAGAUCAGCUAUUAUAAAGACCACGGUGUGGAGGCAGUCUAGGUAUUCUAGGACUUCUGUGCUUAGCGAAAAGCUUGGGGGCGGGGGAGAGAAAGAUGGUAGAAAACCCAAGAGAAAACCUCUCAUUACUUUGCAAUUUAGGACUGUUUCUUACAGUGAGACACAGGACUAAUAGUAAAUGAUGUGAUGACGAUAGCUAAUUAUUGAAUAUUUGCUGUGUGUCAGGCACUGGGCUAAGUGCUCUUACUUAUAAUUUCAUUUAAAUUUCAGAGAAAUCUGUUAGGUAAGUGCUACCAUUUUCGCCAGAUGAAGGAAGAUGGGCAUAGAAAGGCGGCCAGCCAUUCAUCGGGCAGGCCCAGGGUCACGACCCUGGUGGUGUGGCCAGGAUUUUGAAGCUGGCAGUCCAAGUGACCACACUAUCCAUUAAUUCACCCUUCCAGCAAAUAUUUGAGCUUCUCCUAUGCGCCAGCUACAGUGUUCUUGGCCGAGUUUAUAAGAGUGAGCCAAAAAUGACAUGAUUGCGGCCUCGUGCAGCUCGCAGACUGAUGGGGGCUGAUAAAAGCUAGUCUAAUGAGGACUAGGAAGAGGAGGUUCAUGAGACUUUGAGAACCUACAAGGGGGGACCUGCCCUCGUCAGGAAGGUCAGGGAAGGCUUCCAGGGGAAAUAAGGAUUAAAAUAAGAUCUGGAAAAAGAGCGGAGGGUGGUGGUUAUGGGGGAGCCAAAGAAAAGGAACAUCACGUCUCAUUUGCUGGGAUGGACUGGGGUGUGUUGAAGGAACUGGCCCUAUGUAGACAGGGCUAGGGUGAGUAUGAGGCCAAGGAUACAGGUUCUAGGCAGAAUGUCCAUGGAUCUGUGCUUCCAAAAACAGUUCUGUUUGUUGUCUGUUCUUGUAGUGCAGGGUGUGUGAGAUGGGAUAGGCUAGGGUUGGGGAGUGGGGGUGGAUAACGUGGUCGGAUUUGUGUUGGGGAAGGAUCGCUCUGUGAUGGAUGAAGCAUGCCUGGGGGCAGUGGGCAGUAGAUACAGAAAACUAGGAAGGUGGGCAGUCACAAGUAAUGAGCAUUUCUGCCUCAGUGAUUUAUUGAUGCUUCACCAACUAACCCAAAACUUAGUGGUUUAACCAGCAACUGUUGGUACAGGAUUCUUCCAUUUGGGCAGGGCUUAGCAGGGGUGGUUUUUCUCUGCCCUCCAUGGUUUGCUGAGGAAUACAUUCAUCCCUGAGCUUAGGUGUGGCUGGAAUGUCCAAGUUGGCUUCACGUACACACUUGGCACUUGGUGCUGGCCCUGACUUGGCUCUCAGGUUACCCUCCCCAGCAUGGAAAACUUAGGGCGAAACGAGACAUGGCCAGGUUUCUUUAGGUCUAGGUCCAGAACAGGCACAGCCCUCUUUACUCCUUUGCAUUUGUCAGGGUACAUCCUAUGGCCAGUCCAUACUUAAGGGAAGGAGGAAAAGAAUCUACCCUCUUGAUGGGCAAGUGCACACAAGAAUGGAGGGAAUCACUGGUAACCAGCAUUGGAGGCAACCUGCUGAAAGUUGCUAUGUGCCAGACACAAUUGAAGGCAAUGAGAAUAGAACACAGUGAUACAAACUCGUUCCCAUUCAUGUAGCCUUACAGAUGGAGACCAUAAGCAAACAAAUAAGCUAUAGCAUGUGCAGGGUGGUGUGCAAAGAGGAGAUGGAGGAAGCUGUGGAGGACAGGUAAAUGGGGAAGGAGGCUCUGACAGGAGAUCAAGCUAGAGAAGACUGAGAGGUGGACCUUGAUGUUGAUGGUACACAAGCAAGGGAAGAUAGGCUUUAAGAGAUGUUUAGGAGUGAAAAUUAGGCUGCCAUCAUUGAUGGAUUGAGUAAAUGCUGCCAGAGGGAGGGAGUAUUUCAAGAUGACACCUCAUUUUUUUUCAUGUGACCAUCUCUGGAUGGAGGUACCACUGUGAGAGUUAGCAGAAUCUUGGGAGAGCCCUAGAGUGGAGUAGGAAGAUAAUGAGAUUAGGUUGGAAACAUCUUGCGUUUUUCAGGUUGGAACUGCUUUGACUUGUGCUCUGUGCUGAGUCUUUGUGUCCAGCCCAAAUUCAUAUGUUAAAUCCUUACACCCAGUGUCAUGAUGUCUGGAGGUGUGGCCUUUGGGAGGUGAUUGGGUCAUGAGAAUGGAACCUUUUUGCAUGGGAUUAGUACCCUUUAAAAGAAGGGCCAGACAUGUGAGAAGACAUCAUCUGUGAAUCAGAAAGUAGAUCCACUGAUUCUGCAGGCCCACCUUGAUGUUGAACUUCCCAGCCCCUAAAACUGGGAGAAAUAAAUUUCUGUUGUUUAUAAGCCACCAAGUCAAUGUUGUUCUGUUAUAGCAGUCCCAGUGGACUAAGACAGUGUAUUUUAUCUCUCUUGUAACUAGAGAGCCCAGAAAUUCUUAUAACAGCAAAACUGAGCCCAUAGACUGCCUUUGGAAUCUUAUUGUUAAAAGAUUUAGUCUUACCAUAUACUCUGGUAUUUUGUUCAGAAAAUACCACUGCUGGAGACCAUACCAAAAAAAAAAAAAAAAAAAAAAAAA